This 512-nucleotide ribosomal RNA is filed under the name uncultured bacterium. Its description in RNAcentral is "partial 16S ribosomal RNA". It matches the Rfam family "Bacterial small subunit ribosomal RNA", at positions 28 to 507 of the family's 1533-position model. The record is from RNAcentral.
GACGAACGCUGGCGGCGUGCCUAAUACAUGCAAGUCGAGCGAGCGGAACCAACAGAUUUACUUCGGUAAUGACGUUGGGAAAGCGAGCGGCGGAUGGGUGAGUAACACGUGGGGAACCUGCCCCUAAGUCUGGGAUACCAUUUGGAAACAGGUGCUAAUACCGGAUAAGAAAGCAGAUCGCAUGAUCAGCUUUUAAAAGGCGGCGUAAGCUGUCGCUAAGGGAUGCCCCCGCGGUGCAUUAGCUAGUUGGUAAGGUAACGGCUUACCAAGGCAACGAUGCAUAGCCGAGUUGAGAGACUGAUCGGCCACAUUGGGACUGAGACACGGCCCAAACUCCUACGGGAGGCAGCAGUAGGGAAUCUUCCACAAUGGACGCAAGUCUGAUGGAGCAACGCCGCGUGAGUGAAGAAGGUUUUCGGAUCGUAAAGCUCUGUUGUUGGUGAAGAAGGAUAGAGGUAGUAACUGGCCUUUAUUUGACGGUAAUCAACCAGAAAGUCACGGCUAACUACGUG